This 460-nucleotide ribosomal RNA is filed under the name uncultured bacterium. RNAcentral describes it as "partial 16S ribosomal RNA". It matches the Rfam family "Bacterial small subunit ribosomal RNA", at positions 338 to 795 of the family's 1533-position model. The record is from RNAcentral.
CCUACGGGGGGCUGCAGUGAGGAAUAUUGGUCAAUGGACGAGAGUCUGAACCAGCCAAGUAGCGUGAAGGAUGACUGCCCUAUGGGUUGUAAACUUCUUUUAUAUGGGAAUAAAAUGUUCCACGUGUGGGUUUUUGUAUGUACCAUAUGAAUAAGGAUCGGCUAACUCCGUGCCAGCAGCCGCGGUAAUACGGAGGAUCCGAGCGUUAUCCGGAUUUAUUGGGUUUAAAGGGAGCGUAGGUGGAUUGUUAAGUCAGUUGUGAAAGUUUGCGGCUCAACCGUAAAAUUGCAGUUGAAACUGGCAGUCUUGAGUACAGGAGAGGUUGGCGGAAUGCGUGGUGUAGCGGUGAAAUGCUUAGAUAUCACGAAGAACUCCGAUUGCGAAGGCAGCUCACUGGACUGCAACUGACACUGAGGCUCGAAAGUGUGGGUAUCAAACAGGAUUAGAUACCCGAGUAGUC